AUGACACCCCUCCCCAAUCAAGAAGGCGAAGCUGCGUCUCCUUCAGAGCCCAAACAAAGUGAGGAGCGCUCCAUGCAGCCCCCAGAGAAGCUUGUGGGGAGGGGGUCCUACUCUCCCUCUAACCAUCUGCUGCUUCGAUUGAAGGGGAAAAAAAAAAAACAAACAAAUCGCGGACAAAAAGGUGGAGCGUGCGCAGCGCAGAGCCUCUCACACCUUCGUCGUGGCAGACUUCCUCCUCUUCCUCCUUCAGUCCAUAAUGGAGCUCCAGAGCCGCGGCUCUCCUUCCUCCCGUCGCUCCGGGUUUGUAAACAGAUCUGCGCUCAUGUGACCUGCCGUUUUGCCUCGCAACGCUCCCCUCCGUCGGCCCUCCCCCGCUGCCUGCGUCCUCCAAUCUGCAGGCGGAGGACGGCGCAGUGAGGCUGCGCGGGCGAAUGGGGUGCGUGCGCGCGCGCCUGUGCGUGCGCAUGUGCGCGAGGAGGGAGACACUUGAAGCAAAGUCAGGGGAGGCCGCUGAUGUGCUGACAACCAAAACAAAGCCAUCUGAGUGAAAUGGAGGUCAAGGAGGAGACGCGCGCGCGCGCGCACGGACGCGGUGCGGGAGCAUCCUCUGCCGGGGGGGGCGCGACAAUGAUGGGGGGAGAAAAAGCCCGCACAAAGACGUGAGGAGGCACCAGCAGCCCCCACCGAGGAGGAGGAGGAGGAGGAGAACAUCUGCCGGGCUGCUGGAUAAGCCCCCCCCCCCAGGGAGGGGGAGGUGCACGCCUGCCUCAUUCAUUGCCUCCAUCCCACCCUCAACUCCCCCAGCAAGAAAUCACCCAUGAGCUCCUGGGAACAGCUGCAUCAGCUGUACUGAGACUGACUUCACGCAUGCGCAGUUGGGAGUGUUAUGACUGCAGGGUUGUUGCCGAGCUGCAGGUUCUAGGAGCAGCACGCCCUCUUGUGUAACAUGUUUAUAUUAAAAUAACUUAAAAAAAUGUCAACAAGUUCUGAAGAUGAUCAAAGUUAACAUGUGCAGCAGGUUUUGGAAACAGGCCUGUUUAGUUUACAGGAGAGUUAAGAGUUCCACUUCAUCUUUCAAUCUACUGUAAAAGUGGUCUUUUAGAUUUUUUGCAGAGCAGGCCUGUUUUUAUUUCCCAUCAUCCAUUUGUUUACACUCUACUAGCUUGCAGCCGGAAGCCCUAAAGGGUCACAACAACACAACACUUGAAGUUCACAACAUAAACACUAAAAAACUCUGUAACGACAGAGUUAUAAACAUUUCUAAUAGCACACACAAAGAGUUAAAAAUCAUCUUUUACUAUUAUUUACUAACUUCUGGAGAUUUUACAACCUUCACGCUGAUUGUUUCUUGUGUUUUCCCGCCGCAGCUCACCAACUCUGGCGUAACUUUCUGUUAGCCGGUUAGCCUCAUGGAAAUUUCAGAAUAAAAGUCGUUCAACUUCUGUUUGACACAAUGUGUUGUGUUGUGAUCCUAAACUGUUGCGGUGUGAGCGUAAGUGUCCCAAGCGAACAUUUGUUUAUUUACUAUUCUUCAUAAUUCAGUUACAAUAAGUUAAAAAUGUGUGUAUCAAAUGUGAGACAGUGGGUAAAUACAAUUAUUUUUUCCUGAACAUUCAUGUCAAUACUUUUGCAUAUUUACUAUCAUUAAUAAUGAUGUUGUAAAAUGUAUUUCUUUCAUCAAAGGGUUUAAAACAUUUUAGCAGCAAGAAAGUUGAAUUUUGUGUUAAUUCUUUAAAGUAGAGAGUUUUUUAGGCUUUCUGGACCUACUUUGUUUCUUAGGUGUCUUCCUCUCUAAGUCAAUUCAAUGGACUCUGUUGAAGAAUACGAGGAACGUUGAUAAAUACUGUCACAUAAGACUCCCCAUCUUGCGUGGUCCUCCACUCCUCUGACUGUUAUCUAUGAAGAAGCCCCUGCAGCUCCUGACCAAAGUACACCACGUUUCAUCUAGCAAAUUCCUUCAAACUUCCUCAUGAUUCUUGCUUCUUCAGAUUCACAAUGUGGCUAUUUAUAUUCAGUCUUGUAAGGGUGUCCAAAUCCAGACCUGAGGCCCGGCCUCCUGCUGGUUUUCUAAACCUUGCCUUAUCUACUACUGAUUACCUGGAUCAGGUAAUAGCCAAUAAGGAGCUUUAAUGACAGGUUAGUUGAAAACACGUAGGACACUGAAAAGUCUGUUUGUAAUCACGCUGAAGUGAACCACACCAGAGUUCAUUUGCAAGAGAACGGAGACCAUCGUUCUCAAGAGGAACAGAGUUCUCUUAAUUGUUUGGUCCAAACCCGACUUCAGGUGAGCUUUCACACCUGCAGAACCAGCUCUGGACAUUAAAAAAAAAACGAAAACAGACUGCCUGAGCUAAAGAUUUAGAGGUUAAGAAAACCAGGGGAUCUUAUGUAUAUUUCUCUUACAAAAAUCAACUUAAGUAAUAAUUUUUUGAUUCUGGGGUGACAUUUUAUUUUCACACUUCACUCAACUUUCUCUACAAAGAUCAGCUGGACGUUGACGUGGGAAUGGAGAUGAAGAACGUUGUUGCUGCUGCUUGUUGACCAAUGAACUGAUGUCACUGGUUCACAGGUUUUCAUCAGAAACCAGGUUACAUGCAAAAGACCCCAGUGUGGCCUCCAAACAUUCAGCUGUAAACACAUUAGAGAGCAGAAAAACACCUAUAUGUGUCACUCUGGUGCCACUGUGCACAAAAGAGCAAAUUAGAUGCAAAUUAUUUGGAAAUAUUUUGGUCCAGACUUUUUUUUGUACAUAUGUUUUGUACUCAAGUUCAUUUCUAAAUAAACGUGACAUUAUAAUGUCAGCUGUGCAAAUACACAUGGAGAGUAUGGAGCUAAAUCUGGGCAAAUAUUAUUUGAAACUUUCAAAAUAUUUUGAAGAAAAUAUUAGUGUUUCUUUCUUUUUUUUUAAAGUUUGUCACAUCACUUGCUUCACGUAAAAUGUUAAAAAUGUAAUAAUUAAAACUACAAAUAAAAUUAAUUACAAAGUUUGACAAAAUCAUCAUUUUGUCUGGUUCUCUGCCCCUCCUUGUGCGCGGUGAUAUCUGUUAGUGCCGCUGUAAAACUUUAUGGAUGAAAAAACAGCAAAACAAGCCCUCAG
Oryzias javanicus (javanese ricefish) is the source of this 3097-nucleotide long non-coding RNA. The record is from Ensembl. Lineage: Eukaryota; Metazoa; Chordata; Actinopteri; Beloniformes; Adrianichthyidae.